This 1110-nucleotide ribosomal RNA is filed under the name Flavobacterium collinsii. Its description in RNAcentral is "bacterial SSU rRNA". It matches the Rfam family "Bacterial small subunit ribosomal RNA", at positions 94 to 1238 of the family's 1533-position model. The record is from RNAcentral. Lineage: Bacteria; Pseudomonadati; Bacteroidota; Flavobacteriia; Flavobacteriales; Flavobacteriaceae.
AUAGGGGCACGGGUGCGUGUGCGUAUGCGUCUACCUUUUUGAAGGGAUAACCCAGAGAAAUUUGGAUUACUACCUCAUAAUAUAACUGAUUCUCAUGAUUCUACUAUUGGAAUCACAACGGUAAAAGAUGAGCAUGCGUCCCAUUAGCUACUUGGUAAGGUAACGGCUUACUUAGGCUACCAUGGGUAGGGGUCCUGCCUGGGAGAUCCCCCGCACUGGUACUGACACACAGACCACACUCCUACCGGAGGCAGCCAUGAGGAAUAUUGAUUGAUGGGCGCAAGCCUGAUCCAUCCAUGCCGCGUGCAUGAUGACGGACCUAUGGAUUGUUGACUGCUUUUAUACGAAAAGAAAAACUGCUUCGGGAAGCAGCUUGACGGAAUCGUAAGAAUAAAGAUCGGCUAACUCCGUGCCAGCAGCCGCGGUAAUACGGAGGAUCCCGCGUUAUCCGGAAUCAUUGGCUUUAAAGGGUCCGUACGCGGCUUAAUAAGUCAGUGGUGAAAGCCCAUCGCUUCUGGUGGAACGGCCAUUGAUACUGUUAAACUUGAAUUAUAAGGAAAUUCCUAGAGUAUGUAUUGUAUGCGGUGAAAUGCUUAGAGAUUACAUGGAAUACCAGUUGUCUCGCAGGUGACUACUAAUGGAUUGACGCUGAUGGACGAAAGCGUGGGUAACAAACACGAUUAGAUACCCUGGCAUUCACGCCGUCACUAAGGGAUACUAGACUGUUGAGUGCUACUCAGCGGCUAAGCGACAGUGAUAAGUAUCCCUCCUGGAGUACUACGUUCGCAGAAUGAUCUCAGAGAGUGACGGGGGCCCACACAAGCGGAGCAUGUGUGGUUUACUUCGUGAUCGCGAGCACCUUACCGUUGUUAAUGGAGAUUGUGCGUGUAGAAACAGACCUUUCUCGCGACAUUUACAGUGGCUGCAUGGUUGUCGUCGCUCGUGCGUGAGUGUCAGGUAAGUCCUACAACGAGCGCAAUCCUUGUUGUAGUUGCAGCGAGUCGUGUCCGGGAACUUUACAAGAACUGCCGGGUCAACUGUGAGGAAAGUGGGGAGCUAACGCAAACCUCGGGCCCUUAGCCUUGGACUUACGAUGCUCAAAUGGCCCGG